ACCGACGCCAUCCUCUCCAACCGACUCAUCGGCACUAUCGUUCCACCCCCACCCCAAGCCGCCAUCUCCAUGGUUCCUCAUUCCCUCCUGGCUCUAGCCACAAUCCAGAGCUUCUAGAGUACCAGGAGGGCACCAUGCCUCCCCCAUUUUCUCGCCGACGGGGACGAUGAUGGGGAACGACGGGGUCAUCGGACCGGCCGCUGUCGUGCGCCUUCUUGCCGAAUCUACCCGCCGUCAUGGGCGUCCCUUCAAGAUGCGGAAAGAGAGAGGGAGAGAGGGGGAUAGGGGACGAGGCGGGAGCAGGCAGUCAAGGAGGUGGUGGUGGAGGGAGCCGGGAGGAUAGGGUGUUAAAGAGGGGCAGGAGACUGGGGGCAAAUCUACAGCUGAUACCUCCCAGUGCAGAACCAGCCACGCCGCUGCAUCUUCCUCCUCCCAUGCCUAGGCUGAGGCGUUUGUACUGGAGGGGGAUACUGUAUCUUUGCAGCAGAGGUACCUGGAGCUGCAGCCUGCAGUAGCAUUAACCAGGGGCGCAAGGGGAGGCUUAGAGCCUGAAAGAUUUGAGCCAGCAACAAGUCAUUAAGGAGCCUUUCGCCCUCUUCGGUAUUUUUUUUUCUUUCUCCUUGGAGCUUAAUUUUGCCUGCCAUUGAAUGGAUUUUACAUUGAAGAAAUAUUGGGGCAAAAGAAAAUGACUUGCUUGGAAAGCAUUGUGUUGUACCAUUCUACUGAACAUGUAAAGUUUCCCUGCGAAUAGCAUAGAUUUUCUUUUACAGUUCAUAUGAGAUACAAUAGUUGCUAGGAUCUGGAUAUUCAUCAGACAGUAAAUGGAAAGAUUGGUAUGCUAAGUAA
Molecule: long non-coding RNA, 846 nt
Organism: Lolium rigidum
Lineage: Eukaryota; Viridiplantae; Streptophyta; Magnoliopsida; Poales; Poaceae
Exons: 3
Source: RefSeq, a predicted model, not a curated record